AAAGAAAUAUAUGUUGGACCAAAAUCUGGAUCCCUCUCUACAAGAUCUUGUCAGAAGAAUUCUUCCUUUGUGUUGUAAUUACUCCACUGUGGCCAGGUUUAUUGAAGAGAAAUCAGCGUUUGAGUAUGGACUUGUCAACCAGGCCCU
Saccostrea cuccullata (small rock oyster) is the source of this 147-nucleotide long non-coding RNA. RefSeq lists it as uncharacterized. The transcript is spliced from 3 exons. The record is from RefSeq and is a predicted model, not a curated record. Lineage: Eukaryota; Metazoa; Mollusca; Bivalvia; Ostreida; Ostreidae.